UUACCAUGCAGUCGAGCGGGGAGAGUAGCUUGCUACUUAACCUAGCGGCGGACGGGUGAGUAAUGCUUAGGAAUCUGCCUAUUAGUGGGGGACAACAUCUCGAAAGGGAUGCUAAUACCGCAUACGUCCUACGGGAGAAAGCAGGGGACCUUCGGGCCUUGCGCUAAUAGAUGAGCCUAAGUCGGAUUAGCUAGUUGGUGGGGUAAAGGCCUACCAAGGUGACGAUCUGUAGCGGGUCUGAGAGGAUGAUCCGCCACACUGGGACUGAGACACGGCCCAGACUCCUACGGGAGGCAGCAGUGGGGAAUAUUGGACAAUGGGGGGAACCCUGAUCCAGCCAUGCCGCGUGUGUGAAGAAGGCCUUUUGGUUGUAAAGCACUUUAAGCGAGGAGGAGGCUGCCGAGAUUAAUACUCUUGGAUAGUGGACGUUACUCGCAGAAUAAGCACCGGCUAACUCUGUGCCAGCAGCCGCGGUAAUACAGAGGGUGCAAGCGUUAAUCGGAUUUACUGGGCGUAAAGCGCGCGUANGUGGCCAAUUAAGUCAAUGUGAAAUCCCCGAGCUUAACUUGGGAAUUGCAUUCGAUACUGGUUGGCUAGAGUAUGGGAGAGGAUGGUAGAAUUCCAGUGUAGCGGUGAAUGCGUAAAGAUCUGGAGGAAUACCGAUGGCGAAGCAGCCAUCUGGCCUAUACUGACCUGAGGUGCGAAGCAUGGGGACAACAGGAUAGAUACCUGGUAGUCCUGCGUAACAA
Molecule: ribosomal RNA, 749 nt
Filed under: uncultured Acinetobacter sp.
Lineage: Bacteria; Pseudomonadati; Pseudomonadota; Gammaproteobacteria; Moraxellales; Moraxellaceae
Description: bacterial SSU rRNA
Rfam family: Bacterial small subunit ribosomal RNA
Source: RNAcentral